UGGGGAAUAUUGCACAAUGGGCGCAAGCCUGAUGCAGCCAUGCCGCGUGUGUGAAGAAGGCCUUCGGGUUGUAAAGCACUUUCAGCGAGGAGGGAAGGUGGUGAGCUUAAUACGCUCAUCAAUUGACGUUACUCGCAGAAGAAGCACCGGCUAACUCCGUGCCAGCAGCCGCGGUAAUACGGAGGGUGCAAGCGUUAAUCGGAAUUACUGGGCGUAAAGCGCACGCAGGCGGUUUGUUAAGUCAGAUGUGAAAUCCCCGGGCUCAACCUGGGAACUGCAUUUGAAACUGGCAAGCUAGAGUCUCGUAGAGGGGGGUAGAAUUCCAGGUGUAGCGGUGAAAUGCGUAGAGAUCUGGAGGAAUACCGGUGGCGAAGGCGGCCCCCUGGACGAAGACUGACGCUCAGGUGCGAAAGCGUGGGGCAGCAAACAGGAUUAGAUACCCUGGUAGUCCACGCUGUAAACGAUGUCGAUUUUGGAGGUUGUGCCCUUGAGGCGUGGCUUCCGGAGCUAACGCGUUAAAGUCGACCGCC
This 530-nucleotide ribosomal RNA is filed under the name uncultured bacterium. RNAcentral's name for it is "partial 16S ribosomal RNA". It matches the Rfam family "Bacterial small subunit ribosomal RNA", at positions 355 to 873 of the family's 1533-position model. The record is from RNAcentral.